Molecule: long non-coding RNA, 1807 nt
Organism: Manis javanica (Malayan pangolin)
Lineage: Eukaryota; Metazoa; Chordata; Mammalia; Pholidota; Manidae
Source: RefSeq, a predicted model, not a curated record
GUAAAAGUGAAAGGAACAAGGUAUACUUUCACAAAUGAGGUUGUCCUUGUCAGCAAACAUCUGUGGAAGGGCUGAUCACCGCAGAGGACUGAAUCCGCAUUCCUUGGGUGUCAUACCUGGGAAAUGGCUCUUUUGAGCAGGUUGCAGAAGUACAAAGAGUAGAUUCAACUUGUUCCAUAAAGGAUGUACUUAGAGAAGACUGAAGUUACUUCUGGGUAGUAAGUUCUUUGACAUUCAGAAUAACUGCUUGUCUCAGCCCUGCCUCUGACCCAAGGCACUGCUGUUUCUUCAUCUGGACUGUUGUUGUGACCUCCUCACUGGCCCCAUAGUUCCACCCUAGUUCUCACCCAGCGGCCACGGUGAUCCUGAGAAUCCCAAGUCCCUACAGAGGACCUCACCUUGCAAACUACACCAGGAGCUCUGCCCUCUCAGUCUUUGUGCUGCUGGCCCCUCUUCCUGGCACCCCAUCCCAGCUGCAGCGUGGCCGCUGCCCUCUGUCCUCCAAGGUUUUCCUCCUCUCUGCCAUCUCAGUGAGUCCAACUGAAACCACUCAGUUUCAGACCCCAGCCUUCACCCCACUCUGCCCGCCUCACCCUCUUUCCCUACCCUGUCCCAGGCCCUUUCCACCUUCUGACAUACCAUGUAUUUGCCCAUUGAUUUUGCUUAUUGUCCUCAUCAAUAGAGCAUAAGCUAAAUGAAAGCUGAUUUUUCUUGUUUUGUUAGCUGCUCUAUUUCCAGUGCCCAGCAUGGUGCCAGCACACAGUAGGGGUUCUGAAUAUUUGUUGAAUGAAUGAAUAAGUGAAUUAAUUGAGUAUUUUCUAUGUGUCAUCUAAAUGGAGUCAAAUUUGGUUUUCUUUAUCAUAUAAAACUACAUGGUAAGGCUAAUGUCUAUGAUGGGUAUAUUCUAAAAAUUGUUUGUAACAAGCUAAUCAGGACCUUCUUUAUAACACAGAGGCCUGAUGAUGGGACUGAGCUGGGGGAGGCAUAGAAGACAGUAGAAAGAGAUCAUGGACUGAGGAUUUAGCCAGAGCAUUUGCUCUCAGUUUCUACAUCAGGAAAACGUGCAUGAACAUUCCUGGCAUUGUUGCGAGGAUUAAAGAUAAGGUGUAUAAAGUGCCUGGCCCACACUGAUGAUUACCACCUAAAUGGAAUAAUCAUAAGCUUGAUGUCAUCCUUUAAAGCUGUCCUAGAGAUUUUCUCAGCUGUCCCAGUGCCUUCAAACUUCUAAGAAAGCAAAUGAACGGUCCGAUUUCCUGCUGGAAGUCCUUGGCCACUGCACCCUGGAGGGUGGGGAGGACCUUUCAGGACUGGAGCAGAGCAGACCUGCCAAGCUCUGCCACCACAUACCCUUAGCAGACAUGUGAAGGAUCAGACUCUCUCCCUUUGCCCUGGGUAAAGCGGACACUUCUUUUGUCUGUUCCUGCUUCCAGCGUGUGCACUCGUGCGGUGCCUGCAAUGUGUGGUCUGGCCCGCACGUUACGGUCUUACACUUGGCCUAGGAAAUAGAAAUGGCACGUCAGGUUUCAAAUGACCUGCCUGUGGCUACCGGGUGCCCUGAACUCCAGAUAACUGUUCUUUCACCAUUUACAGCCCUCAUACAUCUACGUCGUGAAUACUGACUGCUUAUUCUAUACCAGGCACUGUUGCAGGCCCUGGGGCUGCAGUAAUGACUGUCCUCAUGGAGUGUACACUCCAGUGGGCUAAAAAUCCCACAGAUGAGUGGCAAGGAAAUGUGUCACAUACCAGGUAGAGAUUCUUGCUAUUCAGAAAAGGAAGCAGGGUGAGUGGCAUCGGAUGUUAUGAGACU